RNAcentral lists this ribosomal RNA (1921 nucleotides) under Triticum aestivum (bread wheat). RNAcentral describes it as "partial small subunit ribosomal RNA". Lineage: Eukaryota; Viridiplantae; Streptophyta; Magnoliopsida; Poales; Poaceae. The record is from RNAcentral.
CUCUCUCUCUCCCUCUCUCUCUCUCAGCACCUUCGCACCUGCUGCUGCACUGAGGAGGUCCCGGAGGGUGGACCAAUACCAAUUUAGGAGCCCAUGCAUUGUGUUGGAGCGGAAGGAGCACGAUGCGCUAACACCAAUCCAUGGUUGGUAGAAGGAGGCGCCCAGAAUGAAGUCGUAUCGCGUGAUGAGGAUCGUGCCUCGUCUUGUCCUGCCGUGUAAUUACCGCAGGUUCCCGCUCUCCCUACACCUCUAGGUGCAGAGAAGGGGCGGCGGGCUGCUGGCGCUGCGGCGGUCCGGGAACGACGGGCGGCGGACGCUCCGGAUGAGGCAGAGGCGGCGUUAGGAGGGGAAGAAGAAGGGUCGAGACCCACCCGAAGAGAUACCGAUACUGUAGCCCCGUUGUAGACCACGGUGGUAUAGCGAGUUCAGGGGGUGUAGGUCACCAUGUCGUACCAUGCUGGACAGUAGUCACGUUUGGCCGGAGCACCAGUCGCCGAGUGAGAUACCACGAAACUAGCCUAGACGGUGCCGUAAGUGGUAACGCCUAAAAGAUCCUUCCGCGUCUCUCGAACAACAAAGAAGAUAGUACAUAAACUAACCUCGAGAAGAGUGUCGUCACCGGGGAUUGAAGGAAUAGUACCACCAACCAGCGAAAAAUAUACCGUAUCCUUAACCUAACCGAUACGUGCGACGAGGUUACAUAUAACGACUCUGACGAGGUUCAGUCUAAUCUCCGUACGAGUAAAGAGAGUUCCUCAAGAAAUAACAAGAACCCUACGAAGAACCAAUAUAUCAUCCGUUAGAGAAACAACUUCACUAAAGACCAACCGCGAUGUACAUACGGCGGUCACGAGGCUAUACACAGUAAUACCCGUAGCCUUACACGACCAAUGGAACAAGUGGAUCCACCGAAGACAAUACACGGUGUGUUCCUUUUCCUCUAGACGCCCUCUGUUUUCUUUUACGAUGUGCAACGAAUACAGCUAACUCCCCAGUUCGCAGUGGACUAAACCAAAGCCUCGUCCAAUUAAACUAAGACCUUCUUGACAGUAUGCAACCACUUCUCUUUUUUCGUCCGAAGUCACUCUAGAAAGUUCCUUUCACAGAGUUUCGUUACUAUUAACCUACACCGAACCACAAGAAAGUCGUCCAGUGACCAGUUGGUUCACACGAUAUAAUACGACGCUGUUAAAAAGUCUCACGACCUAAGAGACCUCGUAGACUACGGUGAGCACAUAGUUAAGAAGAACCGAACGACUUCGACUAAUACUGACCUCAACGGCAAGAACACCAACUGUUUGAACCGUCUUCUGGUAAUGAUUAACCACCACAAUCACCUUAACGACAGAGGGAUAAGAACAACAGAAGUAUGAUAUGGAACAAAUGCCCACGAGGAAUACACCGACAUUAUCGUGAUGAUGACAUACAACCGACGAUGGUCAAUAGUAAACCAGGCUAACCGACCGAAUACUAAAGCCUCCAAAAGGGCGACUUUGACGCACCGGCACCUAACUCACAACGACAAGAACACUUGAAGCGGAGGUUGCGCGAACAGUGAAAACGAAAGAGGGGUGAUCUCCUGAACUAACCGUGACCCCAAGAGAAACGAAGCAAGCCCCACUAACGCCACCGCAGAGAGCGUAAGUAUAAGACGUAACACGGGCUUUGUUUUCCCGAGUGGGACCUUCUUUAGCUUCGGUUUGACAUCUAGGUUGAUAGAUACAGAGUAGAAUCAAUCUUAGAAGAAAUGACGAGAAUAAUGAGUCGAUGAGGGAGGCGGGGUAUUAAAUUCCGCAAAAAUGUAAUACCCUGUCUCCCUCAUAAAACAUUCACAUCAUAAUGCAACUCUUUUGAUGAAUAAAAGGAGACUUAUUCUAUAUAGAUUUAUCUUCCACAGGUUCACCUUCUCAGAAGUACUCGC